UGAAGGAGAUGGGGAUGCCACUGACAAUUCGCCAGCGUCGUCGCUUUCCCAACAAUUUAGCAAUUAUCCUUCCGGAUAACUACGAGGAAUCAUUGCCAC
This 99-nucleotide small RNA is filed under the name Histoplasma ohiense. RNAcentral's name for it is "hypothetical lncRNA". The record is from RNAcentral. Lineage: Eukaryota; Fungi; Ascomycota; Eurotiomycetes; Onygenales; Ajellomycetaceae.